This 2084-nucleotide ribosomal RNA is filed under the name Krefftascaris parmenteri. Its description in RNAcentral is "eukaryotic LSU rRNA". The stretch from base 1001 to 2084 matches the Rfam family "Eukaryotic large subunit ribosomal RNA", at positions 1 to 899 of the family's 3401-position model. The record is from RNAcentral. Lineage: Eukaryota; Metazoa; Nematoda; Chromadorea; Rhabditida; Ascarididae.
GCUGUUUCGAGACCUUUCGAGGUGGAGAUUCUUUGGUGGAAACCGCCUUAAUCGCAGUGGCUUGAACCGGGCAAAAGUCGUAACAAGGUUUCCGUAGGUGAACCUGCGGAAGGAUCAUUAUCGAGCUUUUGAAAGCCUCAUAGCGUGCAUACUUCCAUUUGCGCGCAUGUGAGCCGCGCGCCGUGUCGCACGAUUAGUCGCCAGCUGUUUUGGCAGGCAAUGGCUAGCGCAUGGCGUGUGUUUUGAGGGUACGCGGGUGAUGCGCCGUGCUAGUUGGCGUUUCGCGAGCGCUCGAGUGCCCGUUAUUCGUAACAGCGGUGUCCAUGUUGGUGUCUACGCUUCAUCGAGCUGCCGCCGGACCGUCGGUAGCGAUGAAAGAUGAAGGGACAGUUCCUCGGCACAGCGGCAGUAAUGCUGCUGUGCCGGGUAGAGCAGACUUAAUGAGCGUUCAGCUUGCGCGCCGCCAACGACCAAAACACAACCAAAUCUUUGAGCAUUGCAGGAUGAAAAAAGCGCAUUUGUUUGCGUUUAACGUACUACUCUUAGCGGUGGAUCACUUGGCUCGUGGAUCGAUGAAGAACGCAGCUAGCUGCGAUAAAUAGUGCGAAUUGCAGACACAUUGAGCACGAAUACUUUGAACGCGCAUUGCGCCAUCGGGUUCAUUCCCGUUGGCACGUCUGGCUGAGGGUCGUUUUUUGUUCAACACGGAGGUGCGCUGCGUGAGCGCACACUGUGGCCGUGUCCAAGGCGGCCGGCUAUUCGGAGCAGGCACGCACAGCAUGAUUGGCUCGAAUACCCGGCUUGGAUUGGACGUCGCGUCAGCGAACUCGCUUGAAAAUGCGAGGCGUGCUACGGACGAGGUGAAGCGCGGCUCGGAUGUGGCGGUUUCCCAGCAAGUGUUGAUCACGGUCCCGCUUUGGGCCGUUCGAUUCAUUCGUUGGGGGGUCGCGCGCGUGCGUCCGCUCUGCGCUGAUCGUAUGUAUGUAGCGUUUCGAAUUUCUGACCUCAGCUCAGUCGUGAUUACCCGCUGAAUUUAAGCAUAUAACUAAGCGGAGGAAAAGAAACUAACGAGGAUUCCCCCAGUAACGGCGAGUGAACGGGGAAGAGCCCAGCGCUGAAUCCCUCGGCCAUUGGUCGCUGGGAACUGUAGCGUAUAGGUGCGGCUGUCCGCUCGUUUCGCGCACCCAAAGUCCCCUUGAGCGGGGCUACAGUCCAUAGAAGGUGCUAGACCUGUACGGGUGGUGAGGCGCGCGGUAGGUUGUUCCUUGGAGUCGGGUUGCCUGAGAUCGCAGCCCAAAGUUGGUGGUAGAUCUCAUCUAAGGCUAAAUACGGCCACGAGACCGAUAGCAAACAAGUACCGUGAGGGAAAGUUGCAAAGAACUUUGAAGAGAGAGUUCAAGAGGGCGUGAAACCGCUGAGAUUGAAACGGAUAGAGUUGACGGAACUCGAUGGCAUUCAACCGAUCCGAGCGGCGGCCUCGCGGCUCUGCGCCUCGAUGAGGACAGCGACGCGAGUAGCUGCAGCUUGCUGGUGGGUGUAUUUGCCGUCGGUAUGCGCUGAGAGGUUCGCCAGCGUGCGUUGAUGGGCGUGUAGCGGACCAUUCCUUCCGGGCGUGGAACCCUUCGCGCUUUGAGGCGUAUCGUUGGUGAAUUUGAAGUGCUGUCUUCGCUAUGGUGCGUCGUAUGCGGCGCGGCUGUUGCGGCUAUUGGGCGGUCGCGUGCGACUGCUUGUAGUUUGUGACAACCCGCCGUAUUGCUUGAUGCGUCGAGAUGGCAUCUCGGUGUGAACGUUGACCACCUAUCCGACCCGUCUUGAAACACGGACCAAGGAGUCUAGCAUAUGCGCGAGUCAUUGGGUGGUAAACCUAGAGGCGUAAUGAAAGUAAACGUUGUCUUGAUGCAACUGAUAUGGGAUCCGUGCGUCCUAACGGUAGCGCGGCGCACCAUAGCCCCGUCCCCGUUGCUUGCAAUAGGGCGGAGGUAGAGCGCAUACGCUGGUACCCGAAAGAUGGUGAACUAUGCCUGAGCAGGAUGAAGCCAGAGGAAACUCUGGUGGAGGUCCGAAGCGGUUCUGACGUGCAAAUC